RNAcentral lists this ribosomal RNA (117 nucleotides) under Acidimicrobiales bacterium. The record is from RNAcentral. Lineage: Bacteria; Bacillati; Actinomycetota; Acidimicrobiia; Acidimicrobiales.
UCCGGUGGUGAUAGCGUCGAGGCCACACCCGUUCCCAUUUCGAACACGGAAGUUAAGCUCGACAGCGCCGAUGGUACUUGGGGGUAGACCCCCUGGGAGAGUAGGACGCCGCCGGAU